CCCCGUAAGAAUGCAGUCUAACGCCCACACAAAGAUGAAGCAAUUCAGGACUAUCACUCUUUGUUGCAUUCAGCUAACAAUACACACAUACAAAGGUAUUUGUGAGUAGAAAUCAAACUGGAUGGUCUUCGAAGGAUAGAUAGGAGGGGUUGAGGAUAUGGGAUUAAAAGCAAACAAAAGGUGCACCUGCCGCUCAUGGCGGUUCUUUGAGAAAGAGGAGAGAACCAUUCGGGAGAAGCUCCAGGCCCAGCUCCAUCCUCCCAGCAGCCACCACCAGUUAGCUACCAAGCCAACAGAAGCAGCAAUGAAUCAGCACAGAUGAGAAGUAGACAAAUAGAAACAGAUGGAAAGAAGCAGACGGAAUGAAGCAGAAGGAAGAAGCAGACGGAAGGAAACAGGCGGAAAAAGCAGAUGGAAAGAAGCAGACGGAAGAAGCAGACGGAAAGAAGCAGACGAGCGCCAACGUGUCCUCCACAAGGAGCAACACCACACUCACAGGAAGUUUCGAAAGCUUCAGUCGGCACGCGGGCAACUGGGCCAUCGAUUACAUCGGAGAAACGUCAUCGUGCCCGGACAAAGAAGUGGCGGCUCGCUCACGCAACAGAACAGCUCUCCUUCAAGUGCCUGUAAUUAUAACUGACCUUGACAGACCACUGUUCUGCAGGGCCAGAAAGAAAGGAGACAAUCUGCUUCUUUCAGUCUCAUUUAUCUCUCCUUUUCUUUACUUUCUUCUCCCCUCUCUUUCGCUCUUUCUCCUCUCCUCUCCUUUUCUCCUCCUCUUAUCUUCUCUCUCUUUCUCGCUCUCUACCUCGUUUUCAUGUUGUAGGCAGGAGAGGUAGAAAAAAUUAUUUCAGCU
RNAcentral lists this long non-coding RNA (856 nucleotides) under Salmo salar (Atlantic salmon). Its description in RNAcentral is "lncRNA (ENSSSAG00000115728.1)". The record is from RNAcentral. Lineage: Eukaryota; Metazoa; Chordata; Actinopteri; Salmoniformes; Salmonidae.